Molecule: microRNA precursor, 51 nt
Filed under: Marmota monax (woodchuck)
Lineage: Eukaryota; Metazoa; Chordata; Mammalia; Rodentia; Sciuridae
Source: RNAcentral
UGGUCAGCGUAAGUAUGUCCAUGUGGUAUUUGGGACAUACUUAUACUAAAA